AAUAUACAAGAACAAGACGGGGAAGAAAACAAAAGUGUUACAAUAAAACCAGAAGGAAUGAUAAACCGUGAAGACACAACCAGUAAAAUACAUAGCGUAAAAGAAUAUAAUGUCUCAAGGUCAACUUGUAGUCCAGAUAUUUCUGCAACUCUUGCGAAAACCUCUAAAAAACAAGAGGAUGUGCAAAACUGCGAUAAAUUAACGAUACCAACUAGUACACAAACUGAAUGGUGUAAUAUUCUGGUAGAAGCGAGGUGUAAUGAAGAAGGAAACUAUUCUUUCCAUUUACCAUCAAUAGAAAAAUUAAAAGAAUUUAAUUUAUAACAUU
Long non-coding RNA from Colias croceus (clouded yellow), 328 nucleotides. RefSeq lists it as uncharacterized. The transcript is spliced from 2 exons. The record is from RefSeq and is a predicted model, not a curated record. NCBI's taxonomy places the organism in Eukaryota, Metazoa, Arthropoda, Insecta, Lepidoptera, Pieridae.